This 433-nucleotide ribosomal RNA is filed under the name uncultured bacterium. RNAcentral's name for it is "partial 16S ribosomal RNA". It matches the Rfam family "Bacterial small subunit ribosomal RNA", at positions 29 to 507 of the family's 1533-position model. The record is from RNAcentral.
AACGAACGCUGGCGGCAUGCCUAACACAUGCAAGUCGAACGAGACCUUCGGGUCUAUUGGCGCACGGGUGCGUAACGCGUGGGAACCUGCCCUUAGGUUCGGAAUAACUCCCCGAAAGGGGUGCUAAUACCGGAUAAUGUCUUCGGACCAAAGAUUUAUCGCCUUUGGAUGGGCCCGCGUUGGAUUAGCUAGUUGGUAGGGUAAAAGCCUACCAAGGCGACGAUCCAUAGCUGGUCUGAGAGGAUGAUCAGCCACACUGGGACUGAGACACGGCCCAGACUCCUACGGGAGGCAGCAGUGGGGAAUAUUGGACAAUGGGCGAAAGCCUGAUCCAGCAAUGCCGCGUGAGUGAUGAAGGCCGUAGGGUUGUAAAGCUCUUUUACCCGGGAUGAUAAUGACAGUACCGGGAGAAUAAGCUCCGGCUAACUCCGUG